UGAAUGAUCCUUUAGUCCUCGUAUGUUAUGAUGAUGAUGAUACGGUACGGAAGACCAGUGAGGCCCAUUCUACGCCCCUUGCACCAUGUAAGAGAAAGACCAGUGAGGCCCAUUCUACGCCCCUGGCACAGUUGGACUGUUAUGUUAUGCUAUGUUAUGUAAGAGAAAGACCAGUGAGGCCCAUUCUACGCCCCUGGCACAGUUGGAC
RNAcentral lists this long non-coding RNA (208 nucleotides) under Manihot esculenta (cassava). Its description in RNAcentral is "long non-coding RNA (MESC_LNC003110)". Lineage: Eukaryota; Viridiplantae; Streptophyta; Magnoliopsida; Malpighiales; Euphorbiaceae. The record is from RNAcentral.